Myotis myotis is the source of this 241-nucleotide long non-coding RNA. RefSeq lists it as uncharacterized. Lineage: Eukaryota; Metazoa; Chordata; Mammalia; Chiroptera; Vespertilionidae. The record is from RefSeq and is a predicted model, not a curated record. The transcript is spliced from 2 exons.
UCCGCGCGCGCACUCCGCACCUGAGUAUUUCAUUUCAGCACUGCGCCUCCUCUGAGUCUGGGAACUUCACACUGGAAAUGGAGAUGAUGCAUUUUGGAGAUAGUUAAUUGUCUGCAUAAUUCAUUGCUGCUCUCUCUCCACAUGACCUGGUCUUGAAGAAAGGCAUAUGUCAAUGAAAUGGAGUGAAGGCACAUUUACAUUUUUGAAUUAAAAUAAAGAAUUUAAGAGCAUUUAUAUACUA